UGCGCGGGUGCGCUGAUUGAGGCGCACACCUGCGUCUCAUGCGGGCUGAUUAGUCUGUGUAUUUAUAUCACCCCGAUGACGUUUGGUCCCAGCAGUUCGUUGAGCUUCAUGUCCCGUUCCAGCACUCUCGUAUCCCUGAUCGACAACCCAUGUGUACCGACCUUCGCCUGUUCUCCGACCAACCUUGUAAGCCUGACUCCUUUGAUACUUCUGCCUGAUUUGAUUGUUCUCCUGUGUACCGACUCCUGCCUACCCGCUCACAUGCUCUCUUCGCCCGACGUCCCAACUACCGCUGCUGCACCGGACUGCCUGCUCGAUCCCUGACCUCGGCAUAUAAUAAACGCUUCUCCUUGAACUACCUGGCAUCGUCCGAGUCCUGCAUUUGGGUCCUACUCUCGUUCCGAUGGGACGUGACACAAGCUAGGAGUUGCAGACAACAUCCCCAUGGCAAUAUCCACAGACCCAUGUACGCAACAAAAAUCUGGCCUGAUGAUGAUGAACAGCUGACUGCUUGUCUGCAACAAUGGCGGUCAAGUACCCGGAUGAACAGCCGUGACGUCACGUGAAACCCAGCCAUUGAGUUCAGAGUGUACCCUGCCUCCUGCUUGAUGACAUCCCGUCAGGCUCCAUCACUCCCGCGAUCCUAGUGAGGAUAAGCAGCUCAGAAAAUGAAUGAAUGGACCUUAUUACCCAGGGC
Long non-coding RNA from Syngnathoides biaculeatus (alligator pipefish), 697 nucleotides. RefSeq lists it as uncharacterized. Lineage: Eukaryota; Metazoa; Chordata; Actinopteri; Syngnathiformes; Syngnathidae. The transcript has 3 exons. The record is from RefSeq and is a predicted model, not a curated record.